Molecule: ribosomal RNA, 427 nt
Filed under: uncultured bacterium
Lineage: Bacteria
Description: partial 16S ribosomal RNA
Rfam family: Bacterial small subunit ribosomal RNA
Source: RNAcentral
AGGGGAAUAUUGGACAAUGGGCGAAAGCCUGAUCCAGCCAUGCCGCGUGUGUGAAGAAGGUCUUCGGAUUGUAAAGCACUUUAAGUUGGGAGGAAGGGCAUUAACCUAAUACGUUAGUGUUUUGACGUUACCGACAGAAUAAGCACUGGCUAACUCUGUGCCAGCAGCCGCGGUAAUACAGAGGGGGCAAGCGUUAAUCGGAAUUACUGGGCGUAAAGCGCGCGUAGGUGGUUUGUUAAUUUGGAUGUGAAAUCCCCGGGCUCAACCUGGGUACUGCAUUCAAAACUGACUGACUAGAGUAUGGUAGAGGGUGGUGGAAUUUCCUGUGUAGCGGUGAAAUGCGUAGAUAUAGGAAGGAACACCAGUGGCGAAGGCGACCACCUGGACUAAUACUGACACUGAGGUGCGAAAGCGUGGGGAGCAAACA